This 874-nucleotide long non-coding RNA is filed under the name Vitis vinifera (wine grape). RNAcentral's name for it is "long non-coding RNA (VVIN_LNC006828)". The record is from RNAcentral. Lineage: Eukaryota; Viridiplantae; Streptophyta; Magnoliopsida; Vitales; Vitaceae.
UAUUAUCAUCAUCAUUUUAGUUAUUUAUCUUUAGAAAAAUUCCACCUUCAAAUAAUUUCCAAAAUUCCAAUUUAUGUAAUUUAAUUUUCAUGAUUUCUAAUUCUUAAAUAAUUUCCAAUUCUAAUUUCUUUCAAAAUUUAAUUUCUAAAGUCCCAAUUUUCAUAAUUUAACUUUCAUAGUUUCUACUUCCCAAAUAAUUUUCAAAAUUAUGUUUUCAUUCGAAUUUAAUCCCUAAAAUUCCAAUUCUUAAAUUUAAUUUCCAAAACUCCAAUUUCCAAAUAAUUUUCGAUACUCCAAUUUUCAAACAAAUUUCAAAAAUCCAGUCUUCACUCGAACAGUUUUAAUUUCAUUCCGGUUUUCAAAUAAUCUCAUGUUCCUCUUGGUUUUAUAUAAGCGUGAAUGUCACUUUCAUAAUUUCAGAAUAAUGGAAUUUGUGAGAUUAAUUCAUGCAAGAUCGAUCGGGCUUUGGUGGGGGCCCUACAUACAUGAUUUUAUGAUUGAUUGAUUUGUUUGUCACGCACGAUUGAUUUAUUCCACUCUAUGACAUGCAUGUGAUUAUUCUGUGUUUAAUUGCUAACAUUCGCUUUCAUUGAAGUAAACCGGUUCAUCACUCAGGUACAUUCUUUGUCUCUCCUAUUCAUUCAGUUAUUUUUGUUUUGAGUGAUAUUCAUUUGGUAUCCAUGCUCGAAUUAUUUCUUAAUUGUGCAUUAACCUCACUUUUUGAUAAGCUUAUUGUGGCUCGUCGCCCAGGUACAUAUCUAUUCCCAUUCUGGUAUUUCUAUAUGCAUGCUUUGAUUCUCACGUGUGCAUGAUUUAUUCUGGGUACUCAUUGAUCUACUCGUCCACUGCCAUGAUUGUUUCAUUUUAUUAGUAG